This 260-nucleotide ribosomal RNA is filed under the name uncultured bacterium. Its description in RNAcentral is "partial 16S ribosomal RNA". It matches the Rfam family "Bacterial small subunit ribosomal RNA", at positions 333 to 610 of the family's 1533-position model. The record is from RNAcentral.
UUACUCCUACGGGGCGCAGCAGUGGGGAAUAUUGCACAAUGGGGGGAACCCUGAUGCAGCGACGCCGCGUGAGAGAAGAAGUAUUUCGGUAUGUAAAGCUCUAUCAGCAGGGAAGAAAAUGACGGUACCUGACUAAGAAGCCCCGGCUAACUACGUGCAAGCAGCCGCGGUAAUACGUAGGGGGCAAGCGUUAUCCGGAUUUACUGGGUGUAAAGGGAGCGUAAACGGCAGAGCAAGUCUGAAGUGAAAGCCAGCGGCCC